RNAcentral lists this ribosomal RNA (256 nucleotides) under uncultured bacterium. RNAcentral describes it as "partial 16S ribosomal RNA". It matches the Rfam family "Bacterial small subunit ribosomal RNA", at positions 524 to 776 of the family's 1533-position model. The record is from RNAcentral.
UACGUAGGGUGCAAGCGUUGUCCGGAAUUAUUGGGCGUAAAGAGCUCGUAGGCGGUUUGUCGCGUCUGCUGUGAAAACGCGGGGCUCAACUCCGCGCCUGCAGUGGGUACGGGCAGACUAGAGUGCAGUAGGGGAGACUGGAAUUCCUGGUGUAGCGGUGGAAUGCGCAGAUAUCAGGAGGAACACCGGUGGCGAAGGCGGGGUCUCUGGGCUGUAACUGACGCUGAGGAGCGAAAAGCGUGGGGGAGCAAACAGG